RNAcentral lists this ribosomal RNA (1019 nucleotides) under uncultured bacterium. Its description in RNAcentral is "bacterial SSU rRNA". It matches the Rfam family "Bacterial small subunit ribosomal RNA", at positions 355 to 1375 of the family's 1533-position model. The record is from RNAcentral. RNAcentral also lists the same sequence under 1 other name.
UGAGGAAUAUUGGUCAAUGGACGAGAGUCUGAACCAGCCAAGUAGCGUGAAGGAUGACUGCCCUAUGGGUUGUAAACUUCUUUUAUACGGGAAUAAAGUUAGCCACGUGUGGCUUUUUGUAUGUACCGUAUGAAUAAGGAUCGGCUAACUCCGUGCCAGCAGCCGCGGUAAUACGGAGGAUCCGAGCGUUAUCCGGAUUUAUUGGGUUUAAAGGGAGCGUAGGCGGGUUGUUAAGUCAGUUGUGAAAGUUUGCGGCUCAACCGUAAAAUUGCAGUUGAUACUGGCGACCUUGAGUGCAACAGAGGUAGGCGGAAUUCGUGGUGUAGUGGUGAAAUGCUUAGAUAUCACGAAGAACUCCGAUUGCGAAGGCAGCUUACUGGAUUGUAACUGACGCUGAUGCUCGAAAGUGUGGGUAUCAAACAGGAUUAGAUACCCUGGUAGUCCACACGGUAAACGAUGAAUACUCGCUGUAGGCGAUAUACAGUCUGCGGCCAAGCGAAAGCAUUAAGUAUUCCACCUGGGGAGUACGCCGGCAACGGUGAAACUCAAAGGAAUUGACGGGGGCCCGCACAAGCGGAGGAACAUGUGGUUUAAUUCGAUGAUACGCGAGGAACCUUACCCGGGCUUAAAUUGCAACCGAAUAUGGCGGAAACGCUAUAGCUAGCAAUAGCGGUUGUGAAGGUGCUGCAUGGUUGUCGUCAGCUCGUGCCGUGAGGUGUCGGCUUAAGUGCCAUAACGAGCGCAACCCUUGCCGAUAGUUACUAACAGGUUAUGCUGAGGACUCUGUCGGGACUGCCAUCGUAAGAUGUGAGGAAGGUGGGGAUGACGUCAAAUCAGCACGGCCCUUACGUCCGGGGCUACACACGUGUUACAAUGGGGGGUACAGAGGGCUGCUACCACGCAAGUGGAUGCCAAUCCCAAAAACCUCUCUCAGUUCGGAUUGAAGUCUGCAACCCGACUUCAUGAAGCUGGAUUCGCUAGUAAUCGCGCAUCAGCCACGGCGCGGUGAAUACGUUCCC